This 148-nucleotide unclassified non-coding RNA is filed under the name uncultured Mycosphaerellaceae. The record is from RNAcentral. Lineage: Eukaryota; Fungi; Ascomycota; Dothideomycetes; Mycosphaerellales; Mycosphaerellaceae.
CUGAGUUCGGGGGCAAUCCCAGUCCCGACCUCCAACCCUUUGUGAACAUAUCUUGUCGCUUCGGGGGCGACCCUGCCGUUCGCGGCAUUCCCCCCGGAGGUCAUCAAAACACUGCAUUAUUACGUCGGAGUAAAAAGUUAAUUUAAUA